Molecule: unclassified non-coding RNA, 378 nt
Filed under: uncultured bacterium
Lineage: Bacteria
Description: contains 16S-23S intergenic spacer region
Source: RNAcentral
UCCGGCUUACCACCGGCGGUCCCUCUAGAGUGCCCAGCCAAACCUGCUGGCAACUAGAGGCGAGGGUUGCGCUCGUUGCGGGACUUAACCCAACAUCUCACGACACGAGCUGACGACAGCCAUGCAGCACCUGUGCACGAGCUCCGAAGAGGGGCCCCUGUUUCCAGAGGCUUUCCCGUACAUGUCAAGCCCAGGUAAGGUUCUUCGCGUUGCGUCGAAUUAAACCACAUGCUCCACCGCUUGUGCGGGUCCCCGUCAAUUCCUUUGAGUUUUAAUCUUGCGACCGUACUCCCCAGGCGGUCUACUUCACGCGUUAGCUGCGUUACCAAGUCAAUUAAGACCCGACAACUAGUAGACAUCGUUUACGGCGUGGACUAC